AUGAAGCCCUCUCUACUCCCACACCCUCAGGCACAAAUCGAUGCCUUCCUGGUGUUCCUGCCCUCUCUCAGAACUGCAGGAGGGCAAGCACAGAGAAGAGGACUAAACAAAGGCUUCCAGGCACAUGUGGAAUGCAUUAUGUUUCUAAUCAUAACUCUGCCAAAGUUGUCUUCAAAUAAGGAGUUGUGAGAGAAAUUACCCAAAU
Molecule: long non-coding RNA, 205 nt
Filed under: Capra hircus (goat)
Lineage: Eukaryota; Metazoa; Chordata; Mammalia; Artiodactyla; Bovidae
Description: lncRNA (ENSCHIG00000006039.1)
Source: RNAcentral